CCUACGGGUGGCAGCAGUGGGGAAUAUUGGGCAAUGGGCGCAAGCCUGACCCAGCAACGCCGCGUGAAGGAAGAAGGCUUUCGGGUUGUAAACUUCUUUUCUGAGGGACGAAGAACGUGACGGUACCUCAGGACUACGCCACGGCUAACUACGUGCCAGCAGCCGCGGUAAUACGUAGGUGGCAAGCGUUAUCCGGAUUUAUUGGGUGUAAAGGGCGUGUAGGCGGGAAAGCAAGUCAGAUGUGAAAACUCAGGGCUCAACCCUGAGCCUGCAUUUGAAACUGUGGUGCUUGGGUGCUGGAGAGGCAAUCGGAAUUCCGGGUGUAGCGGGGAAAUGCGUAGAUAUACGGAGGAACACCAGUGGCGAAGGCGGAUGGCUGGACAGGAACUGACGCUGAGGCGCGAAAGCGUGGGGAGCAAACAGGAUUAGAUACCCGAGUAGU
This 442-nucleotide ribosomal RNA is filed under the name uncultured bacterium. RNAcentral's name for it is "partial 16S ribosomal RNA". It matches the Rfam family "Bacterial small subunit ribosomal RNA", at positions 338 to 794 of the family's 1533-position model. The record is from RNAcentral.